This 499-nucleotide ribosomal RNA is filed under the name uncultured bacterium. Its description in RNAcentral is "bacterial SSU rRNA". It matches the Rfam family "Bacterial small subunit ribosomal RNA", at positions 28 to 535 of the family's 1533-position model. The record is from RNAcentral.
GAUGAACGUUGGCGGCGUGCCUAAUACAUGCAAGUCGAACGGAGAAUUUGAUGUAGCAAUACAUUGAAUUUCUUAGUGGCGAACGGGUGAGUAACGCGUUGGUGACCUACCCCAAAGAGCGGGAUAACAGUUCGAAAGGAUUGCUAAUACUGCAUAAUAUCCAAGAGAUUAGACGCUUUUGGAUUAAAGGAGUAAUUCGCUUCGGGAGGGGCCCGCGUCCCAUCAGCUAGUUGGUAAGGUAAUGGCUUACCAAGGCGAUGACGGGUAGGGGACCUGAGAGGGUGGCCCCCCACAAUGGAACUGAAACACGGUCCAUACACCUACGGGUGGCAGCAGUAGGGAAUAUUAGUAAUGGGCGAAAGCCUGAACUAGCAACGCCGCGUGUGCGAAGAAGGCCUUCGGUUGUAAGACACUUUUUGUAGAGGAUGAGGAAGGACGGUACUCUCAGAAUAAGUCUCGGCUAACUACGUGCCAGCAGCCGCGGUAAAAUACACGUGUA